This 261-nucleotide non-coding RNA is filed under the name Hominimerdicola alba 8. Its description in RNAcentral is "Ruminococcus albus 8 Bacterial small subunit ribosomal RNA". It matches the Rfam family "Bacterial small subunit ribosomal RNA", at positions 1 to 261 of the family's 1533-position model. Lineage: Bacteria; Bacillati; Bacillota; Clostridia; Eubacteriales; Oscillospiraceae. The record is from Rfam by way of RNAcentral.
UUUAUUAAGAGUUUGAUCCUGGCUCAGGACGAACGCUGGCGGCACGCUUAACACAUGCAAGUUGAACGAGCGAAACCAGCUUGCUGGUCUAGCUAGUGGCGGACGGGUGAGUAACACGUGAGCAAUCUGCCUUUCGGAGAGGGAUACCAAUUGGAAACGAUUGUUAAUACCUCAUAACAUAACGAAGCCGCAUGACUUUGUUAUCAAAUGAAUUUCGCCGAAAGAUGAGCUCGCGUCUGAUUAGGUAGUUGGUGAGGUAAA